GUGGAAACGACGUCGUUGAAGCUAUUUCACGAUUUUGCCGUCGCAAAAAUAUGGGCCUUUGUGUUCUUAACGGUUCCGGUACCGUUGCUAAUGUCUCUCUCCGUCAACCCUCCGCCACACCUGGCGCUACCGUUACUUUUCACGGCCGUUUUGAGAUUCUCUCCAUUUCCGCUACCGUCUUCCCUCAAACCACGCCGUUACCUUUGCCUAAUGGUUUUACCAUCUCCCUCGCCG
This 234-nucleotide unclassified non-coding RNA is filed under the name Hevea brasiliensis (rubber tree). The record is from RNAcentral. Lineage: Eukaryota; Viridiplantae; Streptophyta; Magnoliopsida; Malpighiales; Euphorbiaceae.